Molecule: long non-coding RNA, 1168 nt
Organism: Oncorhynchus kisutch (coho salmon)
Lineage: Eukaryota; Metazoa; Chordata; Actinopteri; Salmoniformes; Salmonidae
Exons: 2
Source: RefSeq, a predicted model, not a curated record
AAUCUCCUGUUAAUAGCGUUUUAAGAAAUCCAGCAGUAACGCAUUACGUACAUUCUGCCUUAUGGUUGCAAUUGAGCAAUAGUUGUUUGUUUCCAGUUGAACUUUCUUUGUCAACCCCUUUUUCUUUGGGUCGUUUUUACAUUUUUGAUGUUAAAUUUUUCACUUAAAAAAACUAACAAUUUUUAGAUGUCGCACACGUGUAAAUGUAUCGAUCUGAGAUUACAAUUUCCUUCCUUAGAACUGUGCCAGUUCUUGCUGUGAGAUGUUACCCCACUCUUCCACCAAGGCACCUGCAAGUUCCUGGACAUUGAUGGAGCAGUGGAGAGAGUGAUCACUCUCUGAAGAUGCAGAUCCCAGGCUCCAUGCCUCCUCUCAUCCAGGAGAUGGUGGAAAACUCAGAAGGUCUGGAGGGCCAGGGGGCAAACAUCAGCGGAGGAGGGGCCCCACCAGGCAGCUGCUCAGCCCACAGCAGCCCCCCUGCACCCUCCCCUUAGAAGGGGGUCCACCGCCACCCCCCAGUCAUGGACAGCCAGAAGGCAUGACUACAGACGGAGCCAGCACUGAAUAGAAUAACAUUUUUUAUAAAGAACCCUGUCUAUGUGUGUGGGGGGGUCUGUACAUUUCUUAUUGGACCCUCAGUCUAGUUUAAAACAAAUUCAUAGCUUUGCUUGAUGGCGCCAGAGAGGAUGGCUGCUGUUUUAUUGGCUCUUAACCAACUGUGCUAUUUUGUUUGUUUUUUCGCAUUGUUUGUAACUUAUUUUGUACAUCAUGUUGCUGCUACUGCUGCUCUUUAAUGAUUUGUUACUUUUAUCUCUUACUUUUUUAAGGUAUUUUCCUAGCUGCAUUGUUGGAUAAGGGCCUUGAAGUAAGCAUGUCACUGUUGUAUUUGGCGCAUGUGACAAAUACGAUUUGAUUUGAUCAUCGUGUUGUAUGCCUCUCAUAUUCUUGGUUUAAAAAAUCCAACAAAUGGAGUUUGUGGCUCAGUGUUGUGUGCAGGCGCAGUUAAUUGGAAUCGGUGACCAGACCGGAGAUGAAACAUGUUAGUGGGCCAGGAUUUCCUGUUUUCUUAUACCGGAACGUGUGUAGAAGCUCACACGCUGAUCGAUUGUUCUUGGAGGUACCUGUGCCAGAUCAUGUGCAUUUAAAUCUCAAUUUUGGUUAAUCAGAA